Molecule: long non-coding RNA, 212 nt
Organism: Helianthus annuus (common sunflower)
Lineage: Eukaryota; Viridiplantae; Streptophyta; Magnoliopsida; Asterales; Asteraceae
Exons: 3
Source: RefSeq, a predicted model, not a curated record
AUUUUGAGAAGAAAUCGAAUGAAUGAGGCUAGGUACAACUUAAUCUAAGUGUAUUGAUCAUAAGCAUUAGGGAUCAUGUGGACGUGGACUCAAGCACGAAAGACUAACGGGUCAAGAGGGGACAAGGAAGCCAAUGCGAAAAUGGACGCUCAAGGUUGUGCGGGUCACGGAGGAUCAUCAAGGAAUAAAGAUCGAAGACCGAGUCACUUAAG